UACGAAGGGGGCUAGCGUUGCUCGGAAUCACUGGGCGUAAAGCGCACGUAGGCGGAUUGUUAAGUCAGGGGUGAAAUCCCGGAGCUCAACUCCGGAACUGCCUUUGAUACUGGCGAUCUUGAGUCCGGGAGAGGUGAGUGGAACUGCGAGUGUAGAGGUGAAAUUCGUAGAUAUUCGCAAGAACACCAGUGGCGAAGGCGGCUCACUGGCCCGGUACUGACGCUGAGGCACGAAAGCGUGGGGAGCAAACAGG
This 253-nucleotide ribosomal RNA is filed under the name uncultured bacterium. RNAcentral describes it as "partial 16S ribosomal RNA". It matches the Rfam family "Bacterial small subunit ribosomal RNA", at positions 524 to 776 of the family's 1533-position model. The record is from RNAcentral.